GGUAGGCAGAAGUACGGCCCUCCCACUCUACCCCUUAACCACUCCCGUACCUGCAACUGACAGCAGAGGUAAACAGGUGGCAGACUGGGAGGGGUUGUCACAUUGUUCUUUGCUUCAGGCUUUACAACCCUGCCCACUUAUGUUAUCAAAUGGAUCAAGUUAGUGAAUUUCAGGAGAGAAAGAUACUCCUGUCCAAAUACUUGACUCUGGUUCAUUCAACUAAAAAGGCUCCACUUCUCAGCGAUGGCAGUCCGAGUCACCAGGACAUUUUCUCUGUUAAUUGUGAUAUCACUUAGCAUUAUUUUUUUUAUUCUACAAUGGAAACGUUCAGUAACAAACUUCAGUUUCUCAGGGAAAGUCAGACACAUGAAGGGAAACAGGUCACAUGAAAAUAUCAUUACACUCUCUGGAAACAAAGGGAACUCGACUCCACGUCCUGCUGUGUUAACCACAACACCCCAGAUGAAAAAAGCUGCUUCAACCAAAGGAAACCCAGUGACAACUCCAAAGAAACAACAAAUGAAAACUUCUACAAAUGCAGCAGCAGCUGAGACGCCAAUGCCCGUCCUCUACAAGAAAUCUUUCAAGAAGCUUCCAAAGUGGGAUUUUGAGGAUGUUUAUAACCAGGAUGGCCGUCCUGGACAGAGAACCUCUCCCCAGUCUCUAAGAAACUCGAAGGACGAGAGCUUCAAGAAGGCUUUUCUUCCCAACAUACGUUUGUUUCUGCACAAAGACAACAUCAACAUGAGCGAAUGGAACCGACUUUCACAUUUUAACAAUCCUUUUGGUUUUAUGGAGUUGGAGUACGAUGAUGUGAUGCCUUCAGUGAAGCUGAUUCCAAAGCCAACAGAGCCUCUGCUCCAUCCAAAACCAGGAGGUGAUGGCUGUGUGCGCUGUGCCGUGGUUGGUACCGCAGGAAUCCUCAGUGGCUCCAAAGUCGGUGCAGAGAUUGACUCUCAUGAUUAUGUUUUCCGGAUGAACGGGGCCUUGACCAAGGGUUAUGAGGAAGACGUAGGAAACAGAACAUCUGUGUACGUUCACACGGCCCACUCCAUCACCACAUCGCUUAUUUUACUGACGGAGUACGGCUACACGUCUGCCCCUCAUGAUGAGGGGAUAAAGUACGUCUUGAUUCCUGAAGGAAUGAGGGACUUCCAGUGGCUGGAGGGUCUUCUGAAAGGACAAAGUGUUCGCGCCGGCCCGUACCACAAACAAAUGCCCAGGACAUACUACUCAGGACAGUACAACGAGAGCCGUUUCUACGUUCUGCACCAAGACUUCCUCCGCUACGUAAGAAACAGGUUCUUAAUGUCUCCUAAUCUAAACGCUUCAUUCUGGCCAAUAGUCAGACCAAGCAAUGGGGCUUUCACUCUCUUCCUGGCUCUGCACACCUGUGACAUAGUGAAUGCAUACGGGUUCAUGACGGAAGACUACAGCAAAUACUCCAACUACUACUAUGAGAAGCAGGUUAGAACCAAUGUUGUUUUCUACAUCAACCACGACUACAUUCUGGAGAAGAAUUUGUGGAAAAGUCUUCACGACAGGAAAAUACUUAAGCUAUAUCAGAAAUCUGAAUCAGGGACAGAAAAUCCAAAGAAACUAAAUUACAUCAAGAAUUGAACAUGUGUUAAAGCAAAUCCUUGACUAUAAAGUAAUGUCAUUGUUUCGGGGUGGGGGCGCCUGGUCAGGUCUAAGUUGGUGGUACGGCCCCUCGUGUUGACAGCAGGUGCAGAGCAGUGGAGAGCGACAAUCUGUCCAAAAACAAAACUCUACAGUAGACUACUAUGUAUUUAAAAUGUCUCCACAAAGCACUGUCAUAUAACCCACACAUGAGGUCAUUUAUUCUACUAUUAGAACCGUCAUUUCGCAGACUAAAUUUUCAGUUAUGUGUUAAAUAAUUAAGUUAACCCUUAUGCCUUCUCAACUUUACUACCCUCUGGACACCUUUGUGGCAAAAAUGUACACACAUAAAGAAACAGCCAUAAAAAGCCUCAUACAUUCAUUUUUUUUUUUUUUGAUACAUUAUUCCAUAUAUCUUGCUUCGUAUAUUUUGAUGUCUUCAGUAUAUAUCUUUACAGUGUACGGUAUAUAUUGCACUCACAGUCUGAGGACUCAACUCUCCUCGGCCACAAGGAGGAGUCAGUGUAACACAACAACAGAACCCGUGCUGACAAGACAGUUGGCUCCAAAACUGCUCAUCCAUACAUAAACAGAAAGGGUGAAGAGAACACGGGUGAACAGUUUUUGUUUGAAGGAUUUAUUUCUGUUCAUGUACUUUUUUUUUUUUUUUUUACCUUUUUAACAACAUAAACAUUGCAUGUUGUUCAUCAUCUUGACCUUUUAGUCAUGACAUCUUCAUCAUGUAAAUAACGUAAAGGUCCAGGGGAUGAACCAUCAGGACAGGAGAAAACAAACAACUAAAAGGUAACUAAUAAUUUCUGUCAUACAAUAGAAAGAUGUGCUUUUUUGUAUUUAAUUGCUCUAUCAAUUAAAAAAUGAAAUUAUUUAACUUUAA
This is an RNA transcript of Mugil cephalus (flathead mullet), 2515 nucleotides long. It is a transcript of the gene named alpha-N-acetylgalactosaminide alpha-2,6-sialyltransferase 1-like, with no coding region annotated. Lineage: Eukaryota; Metazoa; Chordata; Actinopteri; Mugiliformes; Mugilidae. The record is from RefSeq and is a predicted model, not a curated record. The transcript has 10 exons.